Molecule: long non-coding RNA, 1152 nt
Organism: Carassius carassius (crucian carp)
Lineage: Eukaryota; Metazoa; Chordata; Actinopteri; Cypriniformes; Cyprinidae
Exons: 2
Source: RefSeq, a predicted model, not a curated record
AUGACCAUGCGCGUGCGCGAGGGCUUGUAUUGCGCGCGAGGGAGUUUGAAAUGAGCUCACAGGCUCCCGUUUCCUCGCGUCCGAUUUAGUUUUCCUCUCGCGGAAGUGAUUUACCGCGCGAGCAAGCAUCAGUUGUAUUCUCGGUUAUUAUUGGCAUUGAUUUGCCGUCAUACAUCAGAAGAGACACACUGGUGUGAGAGAUCAUAUGUGCUUUGAGUGUGAGUAGACUUUUAUUACAACUGAACAUUUGAAACUGCACCAGAGGAUUCACACUGGAGAGAAACCUUACCAGUGUUCACACUGUGACAAGAGAUUCAUUCGGUCAGGAGACCUGAAAUCACACCAGAGGACUCUGGAGAGAAACUGUAUCACUGCUCUGCAUGUGGUGUAUUCCAGAAAGGAGGUUCAACAAACUCAACAAAGAGUUGAGGCGUCUCCCACAGCUUUGCUCAUAGGUAAUAAACUUAUUCUCCAUGGGAAAUGUACUUGAAAAGUCUUGGUUCCCUGCAUCACGAAUCGGGUGAGCUGGAAGUUUCCACAGAGUUGAAAUUUGCUCUGACUAAUGUGCGGUCACCUACAAGCAAACAUUUAAUCUUAAAGGAUUUCUUUGAUUCUCAGAAUUUGAACAUUUUAUUUUUAACAGAGACCUGGUUACAUACUAGUGAUACUAAGUUCACUUUCUGAGUUGCUAACAUCUAACAGUGUUUUUUUUUUAAUUCCCCGCGGGUCUCUGGUGGCAGCGGUGGUUUGACCACUAUUUUAAAAUGAGCUUGAAUUGUCGGACUCUGCACACUACACAUUAUGCUAGUUUUGUGUUGUUUCAGUUCUGUGCUGUGGUCUAUCGUCCUCCAAAAUUCAACAAGCCGAAUAAGAGAUUUUACAGACUUUUUGGGCGAUGUAUGUUUAAAAUAUGAUAACAUUUUAAUAAUGGGGGACUUCAUUCAUUUGAAAGUUCAUUUAUUUCAGUAAAUCAACUCAAAUGACACAUCUGUGUUACGUAUGUUUUAUUUAUUAGUUGUUUUAAGAAGGCUUUGAGUUUAAAACAUACUGUAAUGCCACCAUAAGAGGAUUAAGAUUGCUAUAUUAUUCUCUCUAUUCUGCAUUUCACCUCUGUUGUAAUUUAUUUCUAAUAAACCUGACAUUGUAUAUUAA